UAUCUCUGUAGAGUCUGCAUAUCAAUAAGCGGAGGAAAAGAAACUAACUAAGGAUUCCCUCAGUAACGGCGAGUGAAGCGGGAAGAGCUCAAAUUUGAAAUCUUCAAGGUUCUACCUUGACGAAUUGUAGUUUAAAGAAGUGUUUUCUGUUGAAGUUUUGGUAAAAGUUCUUUGGAAUAGGACAUCAUAGAGGGUGAGAAUCCCGUAUUUGACCAUUAGUUUUCCAGCUGUGUGAUACACUUUCAAAGAGUCGGAUUGUUUGGGAAUGCAGUCCAAAAUGGGUGGUAAAUUUCAUCUAAAGCUAAAUACUGGCGAGAGACCGAUAGCGAACGAGUACCGUGAGGGAAAGAUGAAAGAACUUUGAAAAGAGAGUUAAACAGUACGUGAAAUUGUCAAAAGGGAAGCGUUUGACACCAGUGUUGUUUUCUCGAAAAUCAAUUAAAAAAGGCAGGAUUUUGUGUUGUAUUGACUUUAUCAGCUUUCUGCACUCUUUUCUUGUCUUUUUUAAUGCACUUUUCGUUUAACAAGUCAACAUCAAUUUCUUUUGUUGUAAAAGGGUCAUUGGAAGGUGGCUUUCUUUUCGGAGAAAGUGUUUAUAGCCUUUGGCCUCUGCAAUCGGAGAGAUUGAGGUCUGCAGCGUAGAUCCUUCGGGGUUAGAUACAUUUGUGCUAAGUUAUAGCCUUUCAUAGACAACUUGUUGACUAUGAUCAGUCAUGUAGCUUACUCGCUUAUGCUAUUUUACCUACGCUUAGGAUGUUGACGAUCAGCUGAGCGCG
Molecule: ribosomal RNA, 776 nt
Filed under: uncultured Neocallimastigales
Lineage: Eukaryota; Fungi; Neocallimastigomycota; Neocallimastigomycetes; Neocallimastigales
Description: partial large subunit ribosomal RNA
Rfam family: Eukaryotic large subunit ribosomal RNA
Source: RNAcentral